Molecule: unclassified non-coding RNA, 384 nt
Filed under: uncultured fungus
Lineage: Eukaryota; Fungi
Description: sequence contains ITS1, 5.8S rRNA gene, ITS2
Rfam family: 5.8S ribosomal RNA (bases 172-325)
Source: RNAcentral
GAUCAUUAUCAUGUAAUUCNNNUCCCNUUGGCUGUGUUAUAUAUAUACCCACUCUGUGUACCUUCUCCUGUUGCUUCCGCUGGGUGUGUAAUUCGCCCGGCGGAAGGGUAAAAAUAACCUCUGAGUAUUGAUGAAAUCUCUGUCUGAACCGAAUAGAAAGAAAAAUGUUAAAACUUUCAGCAACGGAUCUCUUGGUUCUCGCAUCGAUGAAGAACGCANCGAAAUGCGAUAAGUANUGUGAAUUGCAGAAUUCANUGAAUCAUCNAAUCUUUGAACGCACAUUGCGCCUUCUGGUAUUCCGGGAGGCAUGCCUGUUCGAGAGUCAUUAACAACCAUCUCGAAUCCCUUUCUUUUCCGUAUCCGGAGGGUGGGGGGGAAUCGGUG